RNAcentral lists this ribosomal RNA (671 nucleotides) under Bifidobacterium jacchi. RNAcentral describes it as "Bacterial large subunit ribosomal RNA". It matches the Rfam family "Bacterial large subunit ribosomal RNA", at positions 761 to 1433 of the family's 2925-position model. Lineage: Bacteria; Bacillati; Actinomycetota; Actinomycetes; Bifidobacteriales; Bifidobacteriaceae. The record is from Rfam by way of RNAcentral.
ACCGCGUGGAGGACCGAACCCACCUGGGUUGAAAACCGGGGGGAUGACCUGGGGCUGGGGGUGAAAGGCCAAUCAAAUUCCGUGAUAGCUGGUUCUCUCCGAAAUGCAUUUAGGUGCAGCGUCGGGGGUUACAUCCGGGGGGUAGAGCUACUGGAUGCUUGAGGGCCCGUAUCGGGUACCGACAGCAGCCAAACUCCGAAUACCCGUGAUGCGGAUCCCGGCAGUGAGUCGGCGGGGGAUAAGCUCCGUCGUCGAGAGGGAUACAGCCCAGAUCGUCGUCUAAGGUCCCGAAGCGUGUGCUAAGUGGGAAAGGAUGUGGAGUCGCCCAGACAGCCAGGAGGUUGGCUCAGAAGCAGCCAUCCUUGAAAGAGUGCGUAACAGCUCACUGGUCUAGCGGCUCCGCGCCGACAAUGUAGCGGGGCUCAAGCACACCACCGAAGACGCGGCAGUCCGUUUGGACUGGGUAGGAGAGCGUCCCCCGGGGGGCGAAGCCGUGGCGUGAGCCGAUGGUGGACCUGGGGGGAGUGAGAAUGCAGACAUGAGUAGCGAAAGACGGGUGCGAAUCCCGUCCGCUGGAUGACCAAGGGUUCCGGGGCAACGCUCGUCGUCCCCGGGUGAGUCGGGUCCUAAGGCGAGGCCGACAGGCGUAGUCGAAUGGAUGAACGGGUUGA